AUUGAACGCUGGCGGCAGGCCUAACACAUGCAAGUCGAGCGGAAGAAGGGAGCUUGCGCCUGGAUCCAGCGUCGGACGGGUGAGUAAUGCCUAGGAAUCUCCUGGGUAGGGGGGGAUAACGUCCGGAAACGGGCGCUAAUACCGCAUACGUCCUGAGGGAGAUAGUGGGGGAGCGUUGGACCUCACGCUAGCAGAGGGGUGUAGGUCGGAUUAGCUAGUUGGUGGGGUAAAGGCCUACCAAGCCGACGAUCCGUAACUGGUCUGAGAGAAUGAUCAGUCACACUGGAACUGGAACACGGUCAAGGCUCCUAAGAGAGGCAGCAGUCGGGAAUAUUGGACAAUGGGCGAGAGCAUGAUCCAGCCAUGCCGCGUGUGUGAAGAAAGUCUUCGGAUUGUAAAGAACUUUAAGUUGGGAGGAAGGGCAGUCAGUUAAUACCUUGCUGUUUUGACGUUAACAGCAAAAUAAGCACCGGCUAACUACGUG
RNAcentral lists this ribosomal RNA (484 nucleotides) under uncultured bacterium. Its description in RNAcentral is "partial 16S ribosomal RNA". It matches the Rfam family "Bacterial small subunit ribosomal RNA", at positions 30 to 507 of the family's 1533-position model. The record is from RNAcentral.